Prunus persica (peach) is the source of this 653-nucleotide long non-coding RNA. RefSeq lists it as uncharacterized. The transcript has 2 exons. Lineage: Eukaryota; Viridiplantae; Streptophyta; Magnoliopsida; Rosales; Rosaceae. The record is from RefSeq and is a predicted model, not a curated record.
AUGAGCCAUCACAAUCCAUAAUUAUAGUUUUGGUGCCAUAUGGGUUAUGAUUAAGCUCAUCUGCAAUUCAAAUCGUCAAAUUAUAUAAUGUCCUUCAUGUCCUUACAAUUCUUCUCUGAAAAUUGGUAGUUUGGAACGGUAGAUAGUUUGUAGCAAUCACAUGAUUCUUAUAAAAACAAAUAAAAAAAGCUGUAUUUAUUGGCCUGAGGUUCCUUUUGGAAUUUCUCUCUCUUCACUUUAUCCCUCUCUCUUUCGUCCUGCACUGCCUUGUCCAUUUUAAGAUCCAUUAAGGAAAGCAAAUAAAAGGAAGAAACCAAAAAAACCCACAAGAAAGUGGCAUCUUUGGCUUUGCUUUGCUUUGCUUUACCUUUGAUUUGAAGGAAAAGCAAGGCAAAGAUGAAGAAGCUUUGAUAAAAUUGAGGUGGGGGAAGACCUGAAAUGAUGCAGUCCACAAAAAGAUUCAAAAGAAAAGAGGGAAAGCCAUACAAACAAGAAAAGGUUGUCAAAGAAGAAUAUUAAACUUGCUUAGAGAAAGUAUUAACUAUCUUAUGUCCUGUUCCAAAUCACUGUUUCCUUCAACUUUGGUUUACUUGUUCCUUGUAUAAACAUCUCAUCAUUUAUUAUACAAAUUACAACAGAGAUUAGUUAUUCCA